GGAGGGGUGGCUGAGCGGUUGAAAGCACCGGUCUUGAAAACCGGCAAGGGGGUAACCCCUUCCAGGGUUCGAAUCCCUGCCCCUCCG
RNAcentral lists this transfer RNA (87 nucleotides) under Candidatus Rickettsiella viridis. RNAcentral's name for it is "Rickettsiella endosymbiont of Acyrthosiphon pisum tRNA". It matches the Rfam family "tRNA". From Rfam's summary of the family: Transfer RNA (tRNA) molecules are approximately 80 nucleotides in length. Their secondary structure includes four short double-helical elements and three loops (D, anti-codon, and T loops). The record is from Rfam by way of RNAcentral. Lineage: Bacteria; Pseudomonadati; Pseudomonadota; Gammaproteobacteria; Legionellales; Coxiellaceae.